UAGAUUUAAUCAGGGAUUUUUGCCAAUGGUAAACAAAAACAAGCCAAUAUGUCAGAGUGAAAAACAGAAUCUAUAAACUGCUCAUUAAGUUGUUAGCUUGCUGCAGGAGAGUUGCUUUUUCCCAUGAGAAGUCUUUCCCAGGCCCUCGCCCCAUGUCCCAGAACCCCCUGGGGCUAAUGUCCACCCUCUGCCAACUACAGCUGUGUGCCCGAUGAAUCGGAGUGCCAGCGCAACCGGAGUGUCCACCGUUCCAGUGCCAUUAAAGACUCCCAUUCAAACUCCUCUUCCCUCUGUUGCCACUGGGUCUCGUAUAACACGCUAGCAGUUUAUUACCGCUAUUUACAGGGUCACAGUCGGGAGGCCAAUAGGAAUGGGCUUACCACUCUCACUAUGUCGGCCUAUCCCCAGCGUCCAGCGCCCACCCAGGUGCCCAGUCUGUGCCUGCCAAACCAGAGCUCGGUGAGGUGCCGGAUUAGACUGCUGCCAGGCUUUGCUAUCCUGUGGAGGGGGGAAGAAAGUCUUGCCAGUUGGAUGUUGUUGGGUGAAUUGUGUGGCUAAUUCAGGCUAAGGAUUUAGAGCACUAAGACAUAGCAACCAGAAGAGGAUCUAUAAGAGGGAUCUUCUAGCAUCGACAGGUACCCUGCAAUUCCAUGAACAAACUUUCAUUACUGUAUUUUGUGAUUUAUAUAAUUAAUAAAAUUCAAAUGGUUGUAGAAUGUCAACUGAACUGUGUCCUUGCCGCAGAAAUCACAAAUGUUCUAUCACCUUCCGUCACUGACAGUGACUUGACACGUUUUGAGUACCCACGCACUCUUUUAGAUUAAUAUAAACUGUAUUGUCACUGCAUUGUCACUGUAUUGUCAUUGCAUUGUUAUUUGACUUUUAGAGACAUGGGAUUGUAUUAUGAUACCAUGACUUACAAUGAACAGGAAGCUCCACUGAAAUGUUUCCCCUCCAAAGCAAUUUUAUAUUUGCUUCUUAUAUAAUCCCUAUUGGUAAUUCUUUCAAUCAUUUCUCUUGUUUACAAAUGGUUUUGGUCUUACUUUAGAAAAGCAAUGAAACAGAAAUUAAAUGUAAUCUGUGAGACGUGUCUGGCAUCGCUGUAUUAAAAUUACAUUAGUAAACUGUGUCAAUUCACAUUAAAAACGUUGUUCUUCCUUUGUUGCCAGAAAUCCCAGCGGAGUAUUUUGACCCAGCCUCCAUAGAUCUCACUCCAUUGGUCAACAAAUUAAUUAAUUCAACACAAUUGGGUAAGCCAACCAAUGGAGAGGUGGAGUCGACUCAUCAUAAUCCCCACAGAAAGCGGGCCUAAUGUUCUCUCAGUAAAACCCUGGCGACAUGUUUUCUUACGGAAACCAGUCUGAC
Esox lucius (northern pike) is the source of this 1365-nucleotide long non-coding RNA. The record is from Ensembl. NCBI's taxonomy places the organism in Eukaryota, Metazoa, Chordata, Actinopteri, Esociformes, Esocidae.